GAUGAAGAACGCAGAGAAAUGCGAUAAGUAAUGUGAAUUGCAGAAUUCAGUGAAUCAUCGAAUCUUUGAACGCACAUUGCGCCCGCCAGUAUUCUGGCGGGCAUGCCUGUUCGAGCGUCAUUUCAACCCUCAGGCCCCCAGUGCCUGGCGUUGGGGAUCGGCGCGGCGCCCUCCGGGGCGCUGCCGGCCCCGAAAUUCAGUGGCGGUCUCGCUGUAGCCCUCCUCCGCGUAGUAGCACAACCUCGCGGCCUGGAGCUCGGCGGUGGCCAUGCCGUAAAACACCCCACUUCUGAAAGUUGACCUCGGAUCAGGUAGGAAUACCCGCUGAACUUAAGCAUAUCAAUAAGCGGAGGA
This 354-nucleotide unclassified non-coding RNA is filed under the name soil metagenome. RNAcentral's name for it is "partial contains 5.8S ribosomal RNA, internal transcribed spacer 2, and large subunit ribosomal RNA". The stretch from base 1 to 120 matches the Rfam family "5.8S ribosomal RNA", at positions 35 to 154 of the family's 154-position model. The record is from RNAcentral.